This 258-nucleotide long non-coding RNA is filed under the name Nilaparvata lugens (brown planthopper). RNAcentral's name for it is "uncharacterized LOC111056846". Lineage: Eukaryota; Metazoa; Arthropoda; Insecta; Hemiptera; Delphacidae. The record is from RNAcentral.
CACAAGCACAGGCACUAGCACAAUAAAUUUUGCAAAGGACCAACGGUUUUUCAAAUGAGUUUCAUAGUCUGUAAUUUUUGUGAUUUUAUCCAGGAAAUAUAGGAGCUGUGGUGAUGAAAUUUUCCAACACAAAAGAAAAAUACAUAGGAGCAGUACGGUAAUCAAAUACUGGCUGAAGUCUCCAAAAACUCGGUUUACCAGCAAAGAGAAAUCUAAAAAUGUUCAAACACCGGAUCCUGGAGGAAAAUCUGAAUGCUA